UACGUAGGGGGCAAGCGUUGUCCGGAAUCAUUGGGCGUAAAGAGCGUGUAGGCGGUCCGGUAAGUCGGUUGUGAAAGUCCAGGGCUCAACCCUGGGAUGCCGAUCGAUACUGUCGGACUAGAGUUCGGAAGAGGCGAGUGGAAUUCCCGGUGUAGCGGUGAAAUGCGCAGAUAUCAGGAGGAACACCGGUGGCGAAGGCGGUUCUCUGGGCAUUACCUGACGCUGAGGAGCGAAAGUGUGGGGAGCGAACAGG
Molecule: ribosomal RNA, 253 nt
Filed under: uncultured bacterium
Lineage: Bacteria
Description: partial 16S ribosomal RNA
Rfam family: Bacterial small subunit ribosomal RNA
Source: RNAcentral